This 305-nucleotide unclassified non-coding RNA is filed under the name plant metagenome. Its description in RNAcentral is "partial contains 5.8S ribosomal RNA, internal transcribed spacer 2, and large subunit ribosomal RNA". The stretch from base 1 to 105 matches the Rfam family "5.8S ribosomal RNA", at positions 50 to 154 of the family's 154-position model. The record is from RNAcentral.
GAAAUGCGAUAAGUAGUGUGAAUUGCAGAAUUCAGUGAAUCAUCGAAUCUUUGAACGCACAUUGCGCCCUUUGGUAUUCCUUAGGGCAUGCCAGUUCGAGCGUCAUCUAAACCUUCAAGCCCUGCUUGGUGUUGGGUGCCUGUCCCGCCUCCGCGCGCGGACUCACCUCAAAUCCAUUGGCGGCCCCCGCGUCGGCCACGAGCGCAGCAGAAACGCGAACUCGUGAGCCCGUCCUGGCGGCUCCCAGAAGCUACACCCACCCAGUUUGACCUCGGAUCAGGUAGGGAUACCCGCUGAACUUAAGC